GACGAACGCUGGCGGCGUGCUUAACACAUGCAAGUCGAACGGAAAGGCCCUGCUUUUGUGGGGUGCUCGAGUGGCGAACGGGUGAGUAACACGUGAGUAACCUGCCCUUGACUUUGGGAUAACUUCAGGAAACUGGGGCGAAUACCGGAUAGGAGCUCCUGCUGCAUGGUGGGGGUUGGAAAGUUUCGGCGGUUGGGGAUGGACUCGCGGCUUAUCAGCUGGUUGGUGGGGUAGUGGCUUACCAAGGCUUUGACGGGUAGCCGGCCUGAGAGGGUGACCGGCCACAUUGGGACUGAGAUACGGCCCAGAAUCCUACGGGAGGCAGCAGUGGGGAAUAUUGCACAAUGGGCGGAAGCCUGAUGCAGCAACGCCGCGUGCGGGAUGACGGCCUUCGGGUUGUAAACCGCUUUCGCCUGUGACGAAGCGUGCGUGACGGUAAUGGGUAAAGAAGCACCGGCUAACUACGUG
RNAcentral lists this ribosomal RNA (468 nucleotides) under uncultured bacterium. Its description in RNAcentral is "partial 16S ribosomal RNA". It matches the Rfam family "Bacterial small subunit ribosomal RNA", at positions 28 to 507 of the family's 1533-position model. The record is from RNAcentral.